GUACGGCCGCAAGGUUAAAACUCAAAUGAAUUGACGGGGGCCCGCACAAGCGGUGGAGCAUGUGGUUUAAUUCGAUGCAACGCGAAGAACCUUACCUGGUCUUGACAUCCACAGAACUUUCCAGAGAUGGAUUGGUGCCUUCGGGAACUGUGAGACAGGUGCUGCAUGGCUGUCGUCAGCUCGUGUUGUGAAAUGUUGGGUUAAGUCCCGCAACGAGCGCAACCCUUAUCCUUUGUUGCCAGCGGUCCGGCCGGGAACUCAAAGGAGACUGCCAGUGAUAAACUGGAGGAAGGUGGGGAUGACGUCAAGUCAUCAUGGCCCUUACGACCAGGGCUACACACGUGCUACAAUGGCGCAUACAAAGAGAAGCGACCUCGCGAGAGCAAGCGGACCUCAUAAAGUGCGUCGUAGUCCGGAUUGGAGUCUGCAACUCGACUCCAUGAAGUCGGAAUCGCUAGUAAUCGUAGAUCAGAAUGCUACGGUGAAUACGUUCCCGGGCCUUGUACACACCGCCCGUCACACCAUGGGAGUGGGUUGCAAAAGAAGUAGGUAGCUUAACCUUCGGGAGGGCGCUUACCACUUUGUGAUUCAUGACUGGGG
Molecule: ribosomal RNA, 600 nt
Filed under: bacterium IRQ_29
Lineage: Bacteria
Description: bacterial SSU rRNA
Rfam family: Bacterial small subunit ribosomal RNA
Source: RNAcentral